UACGGAGGAUCCGAGCGUUAUCCGGAUUCAUUGGGUUUAAAGGGUGCGUAGGCGGGCUAUUAAGUCAGUGGUGAAAUCCUGCAGCUUAACUGCAGAACUGCCGUUGAUACUGAUAGUCUUGAGUUUGGUUAAGGUAGGCGGAAUGUGUAAUGUAGCGGUGAAAUGCUUAGAUAUUACACAGAACACCAAUUGCGUAGGCAGCUUACUGAGCCGACACUGACGCUGAGGCACGAAAGCGUGGGGAUCAAACAGGAUUA
RNAcentral lists this ribosomal RNA (257 nucleotides) under uncultured prokaryote. Its description in RNAcentral is "partial 16S ribosomal RNA". It matches the Rfam family "Bacterial small subunit ribosomal RNA", at positions 524 to 780 of the family's 1533-position model. The record is from RNAcentral.